GAUGAACGCUGACAGAAUGCUUAACACAUGCAGGUCCACUUGAAUUUGGGUUUUUAACUUAGGUUUGGGUGGCGGACGGGUGAGUAACGCGUAAAGAACUUGCCUCACAGCUAGGGACAACAUUUGGAAACGAAUGCUAAUACCUAAUAUUAUGAUAAUAGGGCAUCCUAUAAUUAUGAAAGCUAUAAGCGCUGUGAGAGAGCUUUGCGUCCCAUUAGCUAGUUGGAGAGGUAACGGCUCACCAAGGCGAUGAUGGGUAGCCGGCCUGAGAGGGUGAUCGGCCACAAGGGGACUGAGACACGGCCCUUACUCCUACGGGAGGCAGCAGUGGGGAAUAUUGGACAAUGGACCGAGAGUCUGAUCCAGCAAUUCUGUGUGCACGAUGAAGUUUUUCGGAAUGUAAAGUGCUUUCAGUUGGGAAGAAACAAAUGACGGUACCAACAGAAGAAGUGACGGCUAAAUACGUG
RNAcentral lists this ribosomal RNA (467 nucleotides) under uncultured bacterium. RNAcentral's name for it is "partial 16S ribosomal RNA". It matches the Rfam family "Bacterial small subunit ribosomal RNA", at positions 28 to 507 of the family's 1533-position model. The record is from RNAcentral.